This 86-nucleotide transfer RNA is filed under the name Streptomonospora alba. RNAcentral's name for it is "tRNA-Leu". It matches the Rfam family "tRNA". Rfam says of the family: Transfer RNA (tRNA) molecules are approximately 80 nucleotides in length. Their secondary structure includes four short double-helical elements and three loops (D, anti-codon, and T loops). Lineage: Bacteria; Bacillati; Actinomycetota; Actinomycetes; Streptosporangiales; Nocardiopsidaceae. RNAcentral also lists the same sequence under 4 other names. The record is from RNAcentral.
GGGCGGGUGGCGGAACGGUAGACGCGCACGGUUCAGGUCCGUGUGUCCGAAAGGAUGUGAGGGUUCAAAUCCCUCCUCGCCCACCA